Molecule: RNA transcript, 885 nt
Organism: Triticum dicoccoides
Lineage: Eukaryota; Viridiplantae; Streptophyta; Magnoliopsida; Poales; Poaceae
Exons: 3
Source: RefSeq, a predicted model, not a curated record
CAUCGUACCCGCUCGCCCUUUUCUUUCUCUCCACACCCACGCCCGUACUCUCUCUCCAUUAAUCUCAUCUCUCUCUCUCUCUGUCUCCAUUAUCUCAAGAUCCAUCUAGCCCUUCCUCCUCCACGGCCGGCCACCCUCCCGAUCUGGAGGUCUCCGACCAGAUCAUUCCCCUCCCCACCACGGCAUGCGGCAUGGAGUCCCGGGAUCGCUCGCCGUCAACCAAUGCUAUGCGGAUCUGGCGAGUCCUAACUCACCAAGAUCCCAUGACGGACAAGGUUUGUUGCGCCUCCUCCUGAAGCUGUCGAGGACCAUGAACGCCACUUCCUCUCACCGGCUCAGCACCAACACUUUCACUACCCGCAGGUGUACAAAAUUGCUUGUUCCCGGAUGGAUAUAGUAGCACAUGGAUCCAUCACCUUUGGUCUUGUCUGGUGUUCUCCCGUGCGUGACGAAUUUCGAAGGAUGAAACAGAGGCUGGGCGACAGGGAGAUUACGCUGGAAGUGUGUUGCCUUGUGCCAGAUCCGCCACGAAGUGAGCUGGCCCUCUCCUCCUCUCAUGCCGACAUCGGCAUAUUGCCCUGCUUCUUCCACGGCUUGAUGAACCUACCUUCGCCAGCUUGAUUGAUUUUAAUCGAGAGAAAACUAGUUCGAUUGAGUUUUAUCUUAAAAAGGCUAGUCAUCGCCUGAUGGCCAUUGUAUAGAUAAAAUAUGCUGCAGUUUAUUCUUCCUGUACUACUGCAAUAAGGCAACGUUUCAUCACUAUUCAGUUCUAUGCAAUUCUCUUUCUGUUUUUUGCUCUGGUUCAUGAGCAGUAAAUUUUAAAGUUUCCAACAUACAGUUUGCAAUAUUAUGGGCAGAAUUGUACAAGAACUUUUUGGACGUCUC